RNAcentral lists this ribosomal RNA (456 nucleotides) under Tatera sp. KE102. RNAcentral describes it as "partial 16S ribosomal RNA". It matches the Rfam family "Bacterial large subunit ribosomal RNA", at positions 1919 to 2550 of the family's 2925-position model. The record is from RNAcentral. Lineage: Eukaryota; Metazoa; Chordata; Mammalia; Rodentia; Muridae.
GAGGUUCAACGGCCGCGGUAUUCUGACCGUGCAAAGGUAGCAUAAUCACUUGUUUCUUAAUUAGGGACUAGAAUGAACGGCAAAACGAGGGUUUAACUGUCUCUUAUUUCUUAUCAGUGAAAUUGACCUUCCCGUGAAGAGGCGGGAAUAAACAAAUAAGACGAGAAGACCCUAUGGAGCUUUAAUUUACCAACUCAUCUCUUUCUUUUUUCAAUCUAAUGAACUAACUUUUAGAUCUUUGAGUUAGAAAUUUCGGUUGGGGUGACCUCGGAGAAUAAAAAAACCUCCGAAAGAUUUUAGCUUAGACUGACAAGCCAAAGCACAAACUUUUAAUCAAAUUGACCCAAUUACUUGAUCAACGAACCAAGUUACCCUAGGGAUAACAGCGCUAUCUUAUUUGAGAGUUCCUAUCGAAAAUAGGGUUUACGACCUCGAUGUUGGAUCAGGAUGUCCUAA